CGGCGGUUUAUGUUAGCAUGAUUGUCAGUUCUAACCGCCACAAUAAUUAGUAAUGCUAGUUAUCAUUGUAGGUAAUUAGUUAUGCCAAAUUGAAUCACAAAACUUCACCAGAGCGGGAAAAUAAAUAAAAUAUAAGUAAGAAGAAAAAGAAGAAAUGGAGAAUGGUGAUAAUCAAUUGGUGCUAUAUAUAUAUAUAUAUAUAUAUAUAUAUAUAUAUAUAUAUAUAUAUAUAUAUACACACUCACAUACUCGCAGACAUAUAUGUGCAUGAUAUAGUUUUGACUAUCUAAUUUAAAGUUAUUGUUUGUGUAUAUAUAUGUAUGAAUGAUUGUGUGUGUGUACGCCCGUGUAUGUUUAUUACCUUGUGCGUUUGCGUAUGUGUGAGUAUGUGUAUGUGUGUAUAUAUGUGUGCAAGUGUGUCUGUGUGUGUGAGUUUGAAUUGUAUGCAAUUGUAUUAUAUUCUGUUCUGCGGAGUAUGCCUCGAUUGUUAUACAAAAUUGUUUAGCUGAUCUAUGUUGUUUACUGAAUAGAAAACAUCGCUUGAAGGUGACUUGAAUAUCUAAAAAAGUUUAAAGCCAGCAUACCCUCAUUAACAAUAUAAACUAGCAGGGUAUUCUCUUGAAACAAUUCUCUCCACAACAUUAAAUCUAUAGUCGACAUAUGCCUCAUGCAGAUGAAAACACUGACGUUGCAUAACUAAAAUUCAAUAUAGAAAUAUUUUUAUUUCUAUAAUGUAGUGUUCUGUAGAGAAAAUAAAACUAAACAAAACAACAGCAAUUUGUUCUUCUGUAUAUUAUGCAAUGAUGCUUUAGCGUGUAUGUAUGUAAACUAACAGAAACUAAAAUUCUAAAACAUUCGUAUAACAACUCCACAAUGGAAACAAAAGUAAUUGUGGUGAAUUUAACCUGCUUACGAGUGCAGUUUUUUUACGCGCACAUAUUGCCAAUCCUAAGUCGUUAUCCACAAUUAUUAUUAUACUUACAAAACAUAUUUGCACAGAGAGAAACAUUCAUGCAUGAUACAUAAAAAAACAUACACAUACAUACAAAUACGCAUAUGUAUACAGCCUAGCACAUUGAUAAAUACAACCACAUGAAGACGUGCACAGUUGAGCACAUGCAUUCUUAACAGACAUAUACACAGCUUCUUAGUUGAUAAUCUCUAAAUUUUAAUGAAAGAACAUUGAUUCUGAGUUGGAAAUUAUAUUGUUUAAUCUACGAGGAUAGAAAAAAAUAUGAACAAAAGAGUUACAUAUAUAUUCUUAUGAAAUAACGCUUGGGUGUUUAUGUACUUACUAAGUUCGUUUAAUGUUACCAAUAGUAAACAGCUUUUUGCAGUGGGGAACUUGAUCAAUUCUUCAGAUUUUUGUUAGUAACGUGAAAGGAAAACGA
This 1391-nucleotide long non-coding RNA is filed under the name Octopus vulgaris (common octopus). Lineage: Eukaryota; Metazoa; Mollusca; Cephalopoda; Octopoda; Octopodidae. The record is from RNAcentral.